UCCAGGUAUGAAUGGUUACAGAUAAUUGUAGAACAGGGCAUGCCCAAAAAGACAAAUAUCGGACUAAUCGGGCAUGCACAAGUCAUCAAGUUUUAUAAGUUCUGAGCACUAUUAGCAAAAUGCUGCAAACAUUGUAUUACAUGAUUAAUUUUAGUAAAAUCAUUGAUAUUCAAUUUCAUAAUUUUACACCUUCUUGCAUGAUUAUGCAUGGCUUUAAUUCAAGCGCACAGUUUUACAACUUCUUGCAUGAUUAUGCAUGGCUUUAGUUCAUGUGCACAGUUUUACAACUUCUUGAAUGAUUAUGCAUGGCUUUAAUUCAAGUGCACAGUUUAUCAAACUUUGGUAAAACUGCGCAUUCCAUAUUUAUAUAAGGAAUGCACAGUUUUACAAUCUAGGCUUCAUUGUUUUAC
This 410-nucleotide long non-coding RNA is filed under the name Mytilus galloprovincialis (Mediterranean mussel). The record is from RNAcentral. Lineage: Eukaryota; Metazoa; Mollusca; Bivalvia; Mytilida; Mytilidae.